GAACGCUGGCGGUAUGCUUAACACAUGCAAGUCGAACGAGAGUUUUUGACUCUAGUGGCGAACGGGUGCGUAAUACGUGGGAAUCUGCCCUUAGGAGAAGAAUAACUACUGGAAACGGUAGCUAAGUCUUCAUAUGCCGAGAGGUGAAAUAGUUUCAACUGCCUAUGGAUGAGCUCACGCCUGAUUAGCUAGUUGGUGAGGUAAUGGCUUACCAAGGCCACGAUCAGUAGCUGGUUUGAGAGAACGAUCAGCCACACUGGGACUGAGACACGGCCCAGACUCCUCCGGGAGGCAGCAGUGAGGAAUUUUCCGCAAUGGGCGAAAGCCUGACGGAGCAAUACCGCGUGAGGGAUGAAGGAUCUUGGUCUGUAAACCUCUUUUCUCAAGAAAGAAGUUCUGACGGUAUUUGGGGAAUAAGCAUCAGCUAACUGCGUGCCAGCAGCUGCGGUAAUACGUGGGAUGCAAGCGUUAUCCGGAUUUAUUGGGCGUAAAGCGUCUGUAGGUGGCUUUGCAAGUUUGUUGUUAAAGAAUUCAGCUCAACUGGGUUUCAGCAUCAAAAACUACUAAGCUUGAGUCAAGUAGAGGAAAAGGGAAUUCCCUGUGGAGCGGUGAAAUGCGUAGAGAUAGGGAAGAACACCAAAGCGAAGCACUUUUCUGGCAUUGACUGACACUGAGAGACGAAAGCUAGGGGAGCGAACAGGAUUAGAUACCCUGGUAGUCCAGACCGUAACGUGGGCACUAGUUGUGGGAACCUUUCACGGUUUCUGCGACGCAGCUACGCAUAAG
This 786-nucleotide ribosomal RNA is filed under the name uncultured Crater Lake bacterium CL120-75. Its description in RNAcentral is "bacterial SSU rRNA". It matches the Rfam family "Bacterial small subunit ribosomal RNA", at positions 31 to 864 of the family's 1533-position model. The record is from RNAcentral.